This 65-nucleotide transfer RNA is filed under the name Dipodomys ordii (Ord's kangaroo rat). It matches the Rfam family "tRNA". From Rfam's summary of the family: Transfer RNA (tRNA) molecules are approximately 80 nucleotides in length. Their secondary structure includes four short double-helical elements and three loops (D, anti-codon, and T loops). The record is from Rfam by way of RNAcentral. Lineage: Eukaryota; Metazoa; Chordata; Mammalia; Rodentia; Heteromyidae.
GGUGGCCCAGUGAUAGAGUGCUUGCCUUGCAAGCAUGAGGCCCUGGGUUCAAUUCCUCAGCACCA